CCCCUAGACGUUCUGGGCUGCACGCGCGCUACAAUAAUACGCACAGCGAGUAUCACCGAGCUCGAAAGGGCAAGGUAAACAAUAGAAAAGGUACUGUAAUGGUUAUAGAUCCUUGUAAUUAUUGAUCCUCAACGAGGAAUUCCUAGUAAGUAUGUGUCAUCAUCACGCACUGAUUACGUCCCUGCCCUUUGUACACACCGCCCGUCGCUCCUACCGAUUGGGUGAGCCGAUGAAACUCUCGGAUGUAGGCUAUUCAUAGCCCGCAGAAGAGAUUUGAAUCGUAGCGCUUAGAGGAAGGAGAAGUCGUAACA
RNAcentral lists this ribosomal RNA (311 nucleotides) under uncultured eukaryote. Its description in RNAcentral is "partial 18S ribosomal RNA". It matches the Rfam family "Eukaryotic small subunit ribosomal RNA", at positions 1470 to 1796 of the family's 1831-position model. The record is from RNAcentral.